RNAcentral lists this ribosomal RNA (391 nucleotides) under uncultured bacterium. RNAcentral describes it as "bacterial SSU rRNA". It matches the Rfam family "Bacterial small subunit ribosomal RNA", at positions 30 to 424 of the family's 1533-position model. The record is from RNAcentral.
AUUGAACGCUGGCGGCAUGCCUUACACAUGCAAGUCGAACGGCAGCACGGGAGCAAUCCUGGUGGCGAGUGGCGAACGGGUGAGUAAUAUAUCGGAACGUGCCCAGUCGUGGGGAUAACGUAGCGAAAGCUACGCUAAUACCGCAUACGAUCUAUGGAUGAAAGCGGGGGAUCGCAAGACCUCGCGCGAUUGGAGCGGCCGAUAUCAGAUUAGGUAGUUGGUGAGGUAAAGGCUCACCAAGCCGACGAUCUGUAGCUGGUCUGAGAGGACGACCAGCCACACUGGGACUGAGACACGGCCCAGACUCCUACGGGAGGCAGCAGUGGGGAAUUUUGGACAAUGGGCGCAAGCCUGAUCCAGCAAUGCCGCGUGCAGGAUGAAGGCCUCGGUU